This 709-nucleotide ribosomal RNA is filed under the name uncultured bacterium. RNAcentral describes it as "bacterial SSU rRNA". It matches the Rfam family "Bacterial small subunit ribosomal RNA", at positions 141 to 851 of the family's 1533-position model. The record is from RNAcentral.
GGACAGCCUUCUGAAAGGAAGAUUAAUACAAGAUGGCAUCAUGAGUUCACAUGUUCACAUGAUUAAAGGUAUUCCGGUAGACGAUGGGGAUGCGUUCCAUUAGAUAGUAGGCGGGGUAACGGCCCACCUAGUCUUCGAUGGAUAGGGGUUCUGAGAGGAAGGUCCCCCACAUUGGAACUGAGACACGGUCCAAACUCCUACGGGAGGCAGCAGUGAGGAAUAUUGGUCAAUGGGCGAGAGCCUAAACCAGCCAAGUAGCGUGAAGGAUGACUGCCCUAUGGGUUGUAAACUUCUUUUAUAAAGGAAUAAAGUCGGGUAUGUAUACCCGUUUGCAUGUACUUUAUGAAUAAGGAUCGGCUAACUCCGUGCCAGCAGCCGCGGUAAUACGGAGGAUCCGAGCGUUAUCCGGAUUUAUUGGGUUUAAAGGGAGCGUAGAUGGAUGUUUAAGUCAGUUGUGAAAGUUUGCGGCUCAACCGUAAAAUUGCAGUUGAUACUGGAUAUCUUGAGUGCAGUUGAGGCAGGCGGAAUUCGUGGUGUAGCGGUGAAAUGCUUAGAUAUCACGAAGAACUCCGAUUGCGAAGGCAGCCUGCUAAGCUGCAACUGACAUUGAGGCUCGAAAGUGUGGGUAUCAAACAGGAUUAGAUACCCUGGUAGUCCACACGGUAAACGAUGAAUACUCGCUGUUUGCGAUAUACUGCAAGCGGCCAAG